AUGGAGGGUCGCACUCGUAGAGUUGCCUCGCUACCGAUGAGGUCGCCGUCCAUGGUGGCAGGAUGGCGCUUGUCGCCGAUGGGUGAGAGGGCACUUGUGUCUACUGAUGGGCCUUCCCUGCCUGUGCAGAAUUGGCUGACGACCAGGGUAUCAGCUUUUGACCGUUUGACCGGGCAAGUGGGGCCGCUGGAAGGAUCCGAGAGGAGGCAAAUUUCAAAUCCUGACCGCAAUAAUGGAGAUGGGGUCACGUGCCAACCAAUUGCCAGGGAGCUUGGCAGUUUGCUGGUUGGUGCUCCAUAG
Molecule: ribosomal RNA, 300 nt
Filed under: Triticum aestivum (bread wheat)
Lineage: Eukaryota; Viridiplantae; Streptophyta; Magnoliopsida; Poales; Poaceae
Description: partial small subunit ribosomal RNA
Source: RNAcentral